Molecule: long non-coding RNA, 1914 nt
Organism: Apteryx rowi (Okarito brown kiwi)
Lineage: Eukaryota; Metazoa; Chordata; Aves; Apterygiformes; Apterygidae
Source: Ensembl
CUCCACACACACACAACAUCUCUGCACACUGCAUGUAUGAGACAUCCCAGCCCAUGCAAGGCGGCGGCAGAGAGCUUCUCCCAGCACAGGAGGGGCAUCUGCUGGGAGAGCCGCGUAACUACCGGUGGGUGGGGAGGCGUUUUUGURCAAAAAGUUACUCUGAAAAAACAGAAUGAAUGACUGCCGAAUGCAACAUCAAGAGUAAACCACUUCGUCCGCCGGGAGAGCGCAAGCACACCAAGUCUCGCAGGGCAGCGGUUCCCGCUGCUCCUUGGGGCCGCCCGGGUGCCGGGAGGGCUCGGGCCUCACCCGUGUCGCCUCCGCGCCCCAUCACCCCUUCCAGCUCACCCCCAGGCACCGGGUCCCUACAGCACUGUCUGAGCUCUCGCAUGAAAGGCCCAGUGUACGAGCUCAAUAUCAUCACCUGUAACUUGCGGCGGGGUGAGCAACGGGCACGCAGCAAGACCUCCCCAUCCACGCGUGUUCCUCGGGCAGAGGCUGAGCCCCAGGCUACAUGCUGAACCCUCACAGCAUGAUGGACAGUCCCACAAAGCUUAACAUCUAAUAGACAAGAAAGUACAAGGAACAGAGAUGCAGAGGAAUGACGUGCCUAGGGUCCGUGGCAGAACUGAGAUGAGAAUCUCCAUCUCCAGACUCCUGUAGCUAUAGGAUCACACCGUUCCCUAUCAAAAUGUCAGACUGCGGAAAAGAUAAUGUCUUUAGAUUACAGUCGAGUAAGCACCUCACAGCAAGGUAUGGAUGUUAACUACUGUUCUGGAGGGAAAACAAGAAGACUGAACAAAUCUCCUUUAUCUCUUUUUGUCUAGGAUAGAGGGGAAAAAAAUGGYGAAACAGUAAGCUAAAAUCAGAUGCUCCUCAUGGGACCAGUGAGCAGUAUUUGAUGUCCAAGCCAAAAAAUACUUCAAGGGAUGGCAGCAUCGGCGAACAACUUAAAAUUAAGAAGAAAUGCUUCUGCUCCAGCUCAGAUUCCCUGUGGAGGAACGCUACACGGCACCAGGCUCUUUCUCUGUGCUGCACAGUAGCCCAUCUUCUACCAAAUUCAGGCUGACUGGCAAAUGCAAAAAUCAAACAUUUAUGAGUCCGAUGCAUCAGAUCUGUGCACUAUCACUCAUUCAGUAGUACAUUCUAGUGAGGGUGGGUUAUAACAAAAAUGCUCAUGACUGCUGCCAUCCCAGAGGCAGAAGGCUUUGUGUGGGCAAAUUACAGAGUUUUGGGGAACCCCGAAGUUUUCCACCCAUAUAGCACAACCUGGCUCUACUGUCUCUCAUUUUUCCUAACCCAUUAAAAACAAACAUCUUGUUCCUAACCAUAAAAACAGCUAACGGUGAUGAUGGAUGUGUCAGAAUCUUGUUAUCCUUCUUUAUCACCCCAAAUUUGCAAUACCAUCUCUUUCUUUCUUCCCUAGUGAAGCCUUUGCAAAAUCURUCCAGCUAACGAGAAACAAGAAGCUGCAGACCUGGGAAAGGAAUGCUCAAACACAGGUCUUCCCUAUGCUUGAAAAAGCACCAAGAGCUUGUCUACAAAGGAAGGUUAUACUGGCAUACAAAAAGCUUCGAAGAUUAAUCAGUAUAACACACAGAUACAAUCUGACCAUGGAUUCUCUUAUUCCAGUUUAAUUCCUGCUUCUAUGAGGGAGAUUUGAGCUAUAUUCAAAGCCAUUCUGAUAUUAGUAAGAGUAUCCCACCAGUUUAGGGUUAUCAACAGUGUUCCAGCAUAAGUYCCUAGGAUAAACAAGCUUUCCAGUGCUGGAGAGACAAGGUGAAAAUUGAGGAGUGCAUUCCCUUUCAACCUAGGAUGAGAACUGCAAGAGGCUUCCCUAGCAGCCCAGAAAGGCUAGUAGCUUUGAAGGGACACUAAACAAUAAACUUAAUAAAGAAGAAAAAUAUAAAUACA